Molecule: ribosomal RNA, 923 nt
Filed under: Capnodium coffeae
Lineage: Eukaryota; Fungi; Ascomycota; Dothideomycetes; Capnodiales; Capnodiaceae
Description: eukaryotic LSU rRNA
Rfam family: Eukaryotic large subunit ribosomal RNA
Source: RNAcentral
AUUGCCCUAGUAACGGCGAGUGAAGCGGCAAUAGCUCAGAUUUGAAAUCUGGCGUCUUCGGCGUCCGAGUUGUAAUCUGUAGAGGAUGCCUUUGGGUAGCCACCGGUCUAAGUCCCCUGGAACGGGGCGUCACAGAGGGUGAGAAUCCCGUAUGUGACCGGAAGGGCACCCUCCACAAGGCUCCUUCGACGAGUCGAGUUGUUUGGGAAUGCAGCUCUAAAUGGGAGGUAAAUUCCUUCUAAAGCUAAAUACCGGCCAGAGACCGAUAGCGCACAAGUAGAGUGAUCGAAAGAUGAAAAGCACUUUGGAAAGAGAGUUAAAAAGCACGUGAAAUUGUUGAAAGGGAAGCGCUUGCAACCAGACUUGUUGGCGGUGUUCCGCCGGUCUUCUGACCGGUCCACUCACCGUCUGCAGGCCAGCAUCAUCUGGGGCCGCCGGAUAAAAGCGAGGGGAACGUGGCUCCCUCGGGAGUGUUAUAGCCCCUCGUGCAAUACGGCGAGCCUCGGGUGAGGUCCGCGCUUCGGCUAGGAUGCUGGCGUAAUGGUCGUAAGCGGCCCGUCUUGAAACACGGACCAAGGAGUCUAACAUCUAUGCGAGUGUUCGGGUGUCAAACCCCUACGCGUAAUGAAAGUGAACGGAGGUGGGAGCCUUAGGGUGCACCAUCGACCGAUCCUGAUGUCUUCGGAUGGAUUUGAGUAAGAGCAUAGCUGUUGGGACCCGAAAGAUGGUGAACUAUGCCUGGAUAGGGUGAAGCCAGAGGAAACUCUGGUGGAGGCUCGCAGCGGUUCUGACGUGCAAAUCGAUCGUCAAAUUUGGGUAUAGGGGCGAAAGACUAAUCGAACCAUCUAGUAGCUGGUUCCUGCCNAAGUUUCCCUCAGGAUAGCAGUAACGUUUUCAGUUUUAUGAGGUAAAGCGAAUGAUUA